RNAcentral lists this ribosomal RNA (253 nucleotides) under uncultured bacterium. Its description in RNAcentral is "partial 16S ribosomal RNA". It matches the Rfam family "Bacterial small subunit ribosomal RNA", at positions 524 to 776 of the family's 1533-position model. The record is from RNAcentral.
UACGUAGGGUGCAAGCGUUGUCCGGAAUUAUUGGGCGUAAAGAGCUCGUAGGCGGUUUGUCGCGUCUGCUGUGAAAACUCAGGGCUUAACCCUGAGCCUGCAGUGGGUACGGGCAGACUAGAGUGUGGUAGGGGAGAUCGGAAUUCCUGGUGUAGCGGUGGAAUGCGCAGAUAUCAGGAGGAACACCGGUGGCGAAGGCGGAUCUCUGGGCCAUAACUGACGCUGAGGAGCGAAAGCAUGGGGAGCGAACCGG